UUGAAAGGGAAACGAUUGAAGUCAGUCGUACCGGUGGGUAAUCAGCCUUUUGGGCGUGAUUAUGUGGAGCGUGAGGAGCUAAACACCUUCAUGCCUGCGUAUUCGUGCACUUUGGGUGUACUUGCCCGCAUGGUUGGUUAACAUCAAUUUCGGAAGCCAUAAAAUGGUUGGAGGAAUGUGGCUUCGACCUCGGUUGAAGUGUUAUAGCCUUCAGCAGAUGUGGUGAUCGAGAUUGAGGAUUGCAACGGAUACCCUUCGGGGCUACCUGUCUGAUCUCUGAUCGUUACUCUGGUGUCGAAAGCGUGCUUACGGUCAUCA
Molecule: ribosomal RNA, 318 nt
Filed under: uncultured Glomeromycotina
Lineage: Eukaryota; Fungi; Glomeromycota
Description: eukaryotic LSU rRNA
Source: RNAcentral